UGCCAGACUCCUACGGGAGGCAGCAGUGAGGAAUAUUGGUCAAUGGGCGCGAGCCUGAACCAGCCAAGUCGCGUGAGGGAUGACGGUCCUACGGAUUGUAAACCUCUUUUGCCGGGGAGCAAGCGUGCGUUCGUGAACGCGCGUCGAGAGUACCCGGAGAAAAAGCAUCGGCUAACUCCGUGCCAGCAGCCGCGGUAAUACGGAGGAUGCGAGCGUUAUCCGGAUUUAUUGGGUUUAAAGGGUGCGUAGGCGGAAGGUUAAGUCAGCGGUCAAAUGUCGGUGCUCAACACCGGCCUGCCGUUGAAACUGGUCUUCUUGAGUGAGCGAGAAGUAUGCGGAAUGCGUGGUGUAGCGGUGAAAUGCAUAGAUAUCACGCAGAACUCCGAUUGCGAAGGCAGCGUACCGGCGCCCAACUGACGCUGAAGCACGAAGGCGUGGGUAUCGAACAGGAUUAGAUACCCCCGUAC
This 467-nucleotide ribosomal RNA is filed under the name uncultured bacterium. Its description in RNAcentral is "bacterial SSU rRNA". It matches the Rfam family "Bacterial small subunit ribosomal RNA", at positions 329 to 793 of the family's 1533-position model. The record is from RNAcentral.